CAACCUGCCCACCACUUGGGGAUAACCUUGCGGAAGUAAGACUAAUACCCAAUGAUAUCUCUAGAAGACAUCUGAAAGAGAUUAAAGAUUUAUCGGUGAUGGAUGGGGAUGCGUCUGAUUAGCUUGUUGGCGGGGUAACGGCCCACCAAGGCGACGAUCAGUAGGGGUUCUGAGAGGAAGGUCCCCCACAUUGGAACUGAGACACGGUCCAAACUCCUACGGGAGGCAGCAGUGAGGAAUAUUGGUCAAUGGACGAGAGUCUGAACCAGCCAAGUAGCGUGCAGGAUGACGGCCCUAUGGGUUGUAAACUGCUUUUAUAAGGGAAUAAAGUGAGUCUCGUGAGACUUUUUGCAUGUACCUUAUGAAUAAGGACCGGCUAAUUCCGUGCCAGCAGCCGCGGUAAUACGGAAGGUCCGGGCGUUAUCCGGAUUUAUUGGGUUUAAAGGGAGCGUAGGCCGGAGAUUAAGCGUGUUGUGAAAUGUAGAUGCUCAACAUCUGCACUGCAGCGCGAACUGGUUUCCUUGAGUACGCACAAAGUGGGCGGAAUUCGUGGUGUAGCGGUGAAAUGCUUAGAUAUCACGAAGAACUCCGAUUG
This 595-nucleotide ribosomal RNA is filed under the name uncultured Bacteroidota bacterium. Its description in RNAcentral is "bacterial SSU rRNA". It matches the Rfam family "Bacterial small subunit ribosomal RNA", at positions 122 to 715 of the family's 1533-position model. Lineage: Bacteria; Pseudomonadati; Bacteroidota. The record is from RNAcentral.